Non-coding RNA from Prunus mume (Japanese apricot), 486 nucleotides. Lineage: Eukaryota; Viridiplantae; Streptophyta; Magnoliopsida; Rosales; Rosaceae. The record is from RefSeq and is a predicted model, not a curated record.
UUUCAUGUCUUCCAGAUACCAACAAUCAAUCAAGAGACUGGCAUCGCAGGAGCUGAGCCAAAUGAAACUCUUAGGAAAAUCCGGUCUGAUAGUGUCUUGCGUCCAACUCAAAAACAGAAAGGAAAGGUCUACUUUGGGCAGAAUCUAGUUUUCGAAGGCUCUCUUACCGGGAAAAAGGGAAAUGUCGUAAAGGUUGGAGAUCCUGUUUAUGUUCUCAAGAAGGUCUCCUCUGCUGAUGAAGCAGCAGCUUGAAUUUUGUAGAAUAUCUACUUUAUCUUUGCUGUUACAUGGAUAAUAGUAUAAGAACUGCUGUCUAGUGUACAAUAAAUAACAAGUGAAGUGAGUGGCUUGUUAAUGCUGGUUUCUUGCUUUUUGUCUUCCAAAUUAUGAGGAGGGGGUGUAGGGGUGAGAGUUCCAGCUAUUUCAAUUUAAUGUAUGAGAACCAAAGUCUCCAUGAAUGAUAUAUGUGUUAUGUAGCCGCUUUCA